This is a non-coding RNA of Dipodomys ordii (Ord's kangaroo rat), 343 nucleotides long. The record is from Rfam. Lineage: Eukaryota; Metazoa; Chordata; Mammalia; Rodentia; Heteromyidae.
AGAUGUGAGGAUAAUGUGGCUGUGACAUCUGUCACCCCAAUAAUUGCCAGGGUUGAUUCAGCUGAUCUGGCUGGGCUAGGCAUGUGUCCUCUUCCUCCCUCACCAUUCCAUUUGCUUCCCUCCUGAAGUUACAUGCUUGCUCGAAGAGGACAGCCAUCUCUGAUAGAAGAGGAUCAUUCUUUGGUCAAGGGUAUACAAGUAUCUAUACUCCCCUGCUAGGACCUCCAAACCAGCUCUCAGUCCACCUUCAAGAAUAACUUUGCUGGUUGUAGUAGUCUCUGUUGGUUUUUAUUUUGCUUCAAGACCUGAAAUACAUCAGUCCUUUUGCUCCUGGCCUUUAGAC